GACGAACGCUGGCGGCGUGCUUAACACAUGCAAGUCGAACGGAAAGGCCCUGCUUUUGUGGGGUGCUCGAGUGGCGAACGGGUGAGUAACACGUGAGUAACCUGCCCUUCACUUUGGGAUAACUUCCGGAAACUGGGGCUAAUACCGGAUAGGAGCUCCUGCUGCAUGGUGGGGGGUGGAAAUUUUCGGCGGUUGGGGCUGGACUCGCGGCUUAUCAGCUUGUUGGUGGGGUUGUGGCUUGCCAAGGCUUGGACGGGUCGCCGGACUGGGAGGGUGACCCGGCCAAGUUGGAUCCGGGAAGCGGCCAUGGGUCAUCGGGAGGGAGGGAGGGGGGACUGUUGGAGAAAGGCCGAAGGAGUGAUGAAGGACCGCGGGUUGUGGAGGACCGCCCUUCGGGUGGAAAGCCCUUUUGGCGGAUAGUGAGAAGGAGUGACGGUAAUGGGUAAAGAAGCACCGGCUAACUACGUG
This 468-nucleotide ribosomal RNA is filed under the name uncultured bacterium. RNAcentral's name for it is "partial 16S ribosomal RNA". It matches the Rfam family "Bacterial small subunit ribosomal RNA", at positions 28 to 507 of the family's 1533-position model. The record is from RNAcentral.